This 301-nucleotide ribosomal RNA is filed under the name uncultured bacterium. RNAcentral describes it as "partial 16S ribosomal RNA". It matches the Rfam family "Bacterial small subunit ribosomal RNA", at positions 509 to 807 of the family's 1533-position model. The record is from RNAcentral.
CAGUCGCCGCGGGAAUACAGAGGGUGCGAGCGUUAAUCGGAUUUACUGGGCGUAAAGCGUGCGUAGGCGGCUAAUUGAGUCGGAUGAGAAAUCCCCGAGCUUAACUUGGGAAUUGCAUUCGAUACUGGUUAGCUAGAGUGUGGGAGAGGAUGGUAGAAUUCCAGGUGUAGCGGUGAAAUGCGUAGAGAUCUGGAGGAAUACCGAUGGCGAAGGCAGCCAUCUGGCCUAACACUGACGCUGAGGUACGAAAGCAUGGGGAGCAAACAGGAUUAGAUACCCCUGUAGUCCCUGUCUCUUAUAC